UUGGCCGUGCAAAGGUAGCUCAAUCAUUUGUCUUUUAAAUAGAGACUUGUAUGAAUGGCUAAGCGAGGGUUUAACUGUCUCCCCUUUCCAGUCAGUGAAAUUGAUCUGCUCGUGCAGAAGCGGACAUAAAAAUACAAGACGAGAAGACCCUUUGGAGCUUAAGGUACAAAACUCAACCGCGUCAAGCAACUCAAUAAAAAGCAAAAACUUUGCGGAACAUGAGAUUUUACCUUCGGUUGGGGCGACCACGGAGGAAAACAAAGCCUCCAAGUGGAUUGGGAAAACCUCCUAAAACCAAGAGAGACAUCUCUAAGCCACAGAACAUCUGACCAAACAUGAUCCGGCUGCCCGAAGCCGAUCAACGAACCAAGUUACCCUAGGGAUAACAGCGCAAUCCUCUCCCAGAGUCCAUAUCGACGAGAGGGUUUACGACCUCGAUGUUGGAUCAGGACAUCCUAAUGGUGCAGCCGCUAUUAAGGG
This 480-nucleotide ribosomal RNA is filed under the name Labeo catla (catla). Its description in RNAcentral is "partial large subunit ribosomal RNA". It matches the Rfam family "Bacterial large subunit ribosomal RNA", at positions 1942 to 2571 of the family's 2925-position model. Lineage: Eukaryota; Metazoa; Chordata; Actinopteri; Cypriniformes; Cyprinidae. The record is from RNAcentral.